This 357-nucleotide long non-coding RNA is filed under the name Calidris pugnax (ruff). RNAcentral describes it as "lncRNA (ENSCPUG00000013326.1)". Lineage: Eukaryota; Metazoa; Chordata; Aves; Charadriiformes; Scolopacidae. The record is from RNAcentral.
GAUUAUUUUUAUCCUAUUUUUUUUUCCUUUGCAAAUGUCCUGAUCCAAUUUAAACAUGGGUUUGUUUGCAUCUCCCCACAGAAAAACAAAAACAAAGACAAAACCAUAAAAACAAUCUGGAGAAAGACACCAUCUGAUAUGGAAUACUACAGCUUUUCUUGCAAUGAACCACCACUUAAUAAACUCUAAAUUCUCGACAGAGUGAUGAUAUACAGCAGCCCACGCUGUCAUCCUGGACUCCUUCACUGCACAUCUGCAAUCCAGACUGCCAGUUUCAGAAAACUGGAUUUACUGCUUGGGCAGGAUCCAGUGGUGACUGCCUAUUGCCCUGGAGCAGAUCUGGUCUAUAGUUGCUGA